GUCCACGCCUUAAACGAUGUCAACUAGCCGUUGGGUUCCUUGAGAACUUAGUGGCGCAGCUAACGCAUUAAGUUGACCGCCUGGGGAGUACGGCCGCAAGGUUAAAACUCAAAUGAAUUGACGGGGGCCCGCACAAGCGGUGGAGCAUGUGGUUUAAUUCGAAGCAACGCGAAGAACCUUACCAGGCCUUGACAUGCAGAGAACUUUUCCAGAGAUGGGAUUGGUGCCUUCGGGAACUCUGACACAGUGCUGCAUGGCUGUCGU
This 264-nucleotide ribosomal RNA is filed under the name uncultured bacterium. Its description in RNAcentral is "partial 16S ribosomal RNA". It matches the Rfam family "Bacterial small subunit ribosomal RNA", at positions 793 to 1055 of the family's 1533-position model. The record is from RNAcentral.